Molecule: non-coding RNA, 1438 nt
Organism: Dipodomys spectabilis (banner-tailed kangaroo rat)
Lineage: Eukaryota; Metazoa; Chordata; Mammalia; Rodentia; Heteromyidae
Source: the annotation of a RefSeq genome assembly
GGCAACAUGAAAGGGCUAUUGAGCACUCUGUUGGGACUUUUGUCAGUCCAGAUAUGCUGUGUAAGAGGAAAUCAGGUUGAGCAGAGUCCUCCAGCCUUGCUUCUCCAGGAGGGAGAGAACUCCACGCUGCAGUGCAACUUUUCUAGCACAGUAACCAUUGUGCAGUGGUUUCAGCAACAUCCAAGAGGAGGCCUCAUCGGCCUGUUUUACCUUGCUUCAGGAACAAAGCACAAUGGGAGACUCGUAGCCACGAUAGACACCAGGGAACGCAGCAGCUUGCUGUACAUCUCCUCUGCCCAGAAUACAGACUCUGCCACUUACUUCUGUGCUGUGAGAGACACAGUACUCCCUAGGCACCUGCAGCCUCUACACAAACCCUCAGCCUGGUGUAGCCCCUUUAAACAGUUUCAUGUCUCUUUCCUACAUUGGCAGUUUCACCCACAGUUGCUCCAUGGGUUUGGUCUUUUCUUCCCUUCUCAGUCUAUACCUCAUCUUUCACUACAAAUAACUUACAUGGAAUGAGCCAAGUGGCUGAUACAAGAUGGUAUCAAAAUAAAUUAACUGCAGUGUGUUGGAUCCCCACAGGACAAAAUGUAAGAGCAAUAAAAAGAAAAAAAAAGUUGGGAUAAAGAUGUUAUUGACAGCAGUGCAGCUUAGUUUAGCAUUUCCAGAACAUUCGGGCAUUUUCACUCUAAGUCAGCUUAAGUCUUCACAGGCCUAAGCUCCGCAGAUGAGGCACCACCCACCUUCAACCACAGGUAACACCUCCAGCCCCCAACUGUAUAUAAAGGGUCCUCCAAGGAGCCAGAUGACGCCAUCUUCUCCCUUCCCUCAAGACAACUUAGCCUUGUUUGCUCUAUUGGCAAUAAAUCUUUUCCUCUAUGUGACUUUUGUCCCAGUGGUCUUUUGGAUACUUUCUGCUUGGGUUAUUUUUCCUUUCAUUCACCACAUGCCCCAGGGGCAAAGGCCAUUCUCCAUUUCUUGCAGCCUAAAAUAUCAGUGAAGCAGAAAUAGGACAAUGUCUGAGGAGAGGGUCCACAUGUAUGUUGCAUUCAUCUAAUUCCCAUUCAUGCUUUUGUGUCUUGAAUGGUCUGCUUACACUAUAGCGGGUUUCUUGCUCAAUUGAAAUGGAUGUGUCUUCUCCUGUUGGGUGGAGAUGUGUCAGAGUUACUUGCUUUAUAGUGUUGCUGUUAAUCUACUAAGUUGUCCUAGCUUUUACUGAAGGCAAAGUAUUAAACUCCCAAAUAUUAUUGUUGAAAUCUAUUUCCCCCUGUAUUUCUGAAAGCUAUAAGUAUUAUAUGUUUCUAAUGUAUUGACUUUUUAUUAUUAAAAGUAGUCCUUAACUUUGGAUUGCUUAUUUGGUUAAAAUUUAUUUUAUCAAAUAAUGUUAUGGCAAUUCCAUCUUUCAAGCUGUAUGUGCACGAUACAUUUUCCAUCC